Alosa alosa (allis shad) is the source of this 1180-nucleotide long non-coding RNA. RefSeq lists it as uncharacterized. Lineage: Eukaryota; Metazoa; Chordata; Actinopteri; Clupeiformes; Clupeidae. The transcript has 6 exons. The record is from RefSeq and is a predicted model, not a curated record.
CCGAAUGCAGCCAGUGCUGUAGUCCAGGUGCGAGUCCGAAUGCAGCCAGUGCUGUAGUCCAGGUGCGAGUCCGAAUGCAGCGAAUGCAGCCAGUGCUGUAGUCCAGGUGCGAGUCCGAAUGCAGCCAGUGCUGUAGUCCAGGUGCGAGUCCGAAUGCAGCCAGUGCUGUAGUCCAGGUGCGAGUCCGAAUGCAGCGAAUGCAGCCAGUGCUGUAGUCCAGGUGCGAGUCCGAAUGCAGCGAAUGCAGCCAGUGCUGUAGUCCAGGUGCGAGUCCGAAUGCAGCGAAUGCAGCCAGUGCUGUAGUCCAGGUGCGAGUCCGAAUGCAGCCAGUGCUGUAGUCCAGGUGCGAGUCCGAAUGCAGCGAAUGCAGCCAGUGCUGUAGUCCAGGUGCGAGUCCGAAUGCAGCGAAUGCAGCCAGUGCUGUAGUCCAGGUGCGAGUCCGAAUGCAGCGAAUGCAGCCAGUGCUGUAGUCCAGGUGCGAGUCCGAAUGCAGCGAAUGCAGCCAGUGCUGUAGUCCAGGUGCGAGUCCGAAUGCAGCGAAUGCAGCCAGUGCUGUAGUCCAGGUGCGAGUCCGAAUGCAGCCAGUGCUGUAGUCCAGGUGCGAGUCCGCAUGCAGCCAGUGCUGUAGUCCAGGUGCGAGUCCGCAUGCAGCCAGUGCUGUAGUCCAGGUGCGAGUCAUUGUGCUCAAGCUCAAGUCAAGCCAUGAGUCCUAAAAAUUAGGCCUUGAGUUGGCCUCGAGUCCAAGUCCAAGUGUGGGUGUCUGUCUGUCUGUCUGUCUGUGUGUCUGUGGUACAACAAUUGGCAACAUGAUGGCAAAAAAUUUCUGUUUUUUUUUUUAAGUCAUUAAAAGUGUUCUAUGGAUACAUACAUGUUUGAUGUAACAUUAACUGACUACAAUCUUUCUACAUUUGACCUCUAAAUGUGUUUAUGUUGUUGUUUGGAAAAGAUUAUGUUUACAGUGAACAGAUGACUUUCUCUCUCUGGUAUAUUGUGAUGGUGGCCUAAUGACGUCAGGUCUGAUUGGUUAUGGGCUUUAAGCUUGAGAGAUAAAUCUGUCUGAAAGCACAAUGAUGCUCUCAUGAAACUGUUAACCUCCAACUCAGUGCCCUGAAAUAUUGAUGCAAUACUUUAACUCUUGACUGCAAUAAAGUCUUGACUGCAAGACAUUUAUAGUGAAAAA